UUCGGGCGAGGAAAAAAGACAGAGAAUUGGAUUUUUUUUCUUCAUAGGAUUUUGGGAAGACUGAGGCAAUCGUUGCUGAAGUCAGUGUUGUAAUGGUGAAUCGGGAUUUUUAAUGACGUGGGUUUGAUUUUUCUUGACUGUUUUGUGAAAUCGAGUUACGUCUGUGAUGAAGAAUUUAUAGGGUGUCUAUAGGAUUGAGUAUGCGGAGUGAAUGAAAUUUAUUGGAUUAAUCUAACGAGACAGUCAGUAGAUACAAGAUCGUGAGUAUAAAGUGAUAUCGGAGAUUA
This 287-nucleotide long non-coding RNA is filed under the name Physcomitrium patens. RNAcentral's name for it is "long non-coding RNA (PPAT_LNC005238)". Lineage: Eukaryota; Viridiplantae; Streptophyta; Bryopsida; Funariales; Funariaceae. The record is from RNAcentral.